Molecule: ribosomal RNA, 682 nt
Filed under: Porphyromonadaceae bacterium
Lineage: Bacteria; Pseudomonadati; Bacteroidota; Bacteroidia; Bacteroidales; Porphyromonadaceae
Description: partial 23S ribosomal RNA
Rfam family: Bacterial large subunit ribosomal RNA
Source: RNAcentral
GCGAUAAAGCGGGUGAAAAGCCCGCUCGCCGAAAGCCCAAGGUUUCCUACGCAACGUUCAUCGGCGUAGGGUGAGUCGGCCCCUAAGGCGAGGCAGAAAUGCGUAGUCGAUGGGAAACAGGUUAAUAUUCCUGUACUUGAUUCAAAUGCGAUGUGGGGACGGAGAAGGUUAGGUUAGCAAGCUGUUGGAAUAGCUUGUUUAAGCCGGUAGGUGGAAGACUUAGGCAAAUCCGGGUCUUCUUAACACCGAGAAGUGAUGACGAGUGUCUACGGACAUGAAGUAACCGAUACCACGCUUCCAGGAAAAGCCACUAAGCUUCAGUUUGAAUCGAACCGUACCGCAAACCGACACAGGUGGGCAGGAUGAGAAUUCUAAGGCGCUUGAGAGAACUCGGGAGAAGGAACUCGGCAAAUUGAUACCGUAACUUCGGGAGAAGGUAUGCCCUCUAAGGUUAAGGACUUGCUCCGUAAGCUUCGGAGGGUCGCAGAGAAUAGGUGGCUGCGACUGUUUAUUAAAAACACAGCACUCUGCUAACACGAAAGUGGACGUAUAGGGUGUGACGCCUGCCCGGUGCUGGAAGGUUAAUUGAAGAUGUGCAAGCAUCGGAUCGAAGCCCCAGUAAACGGCGGCCGUAACUAUAACGGUCCUAAGGUAGCGAAAUUCCUUGUCGGGUAAGUUCCGA